CACAUCAGCACGAUGUCUGAGUUGCCGCUC
This 30-nucleotide non-coding RNA is filed under the name Homo sapiens (human). The record is from RNAcentral. Lineage: Eukaryota; Metazoa; Chordata; Mammalia; Primates; Hominidae.